AAAGAUUAGAUACAUUUCAUGCAUUCAUUUAAUAAAAAUCGAGCACUUAAGUCUCCAGCUCUGGGAGGGAAAUGGAUGAAGCAGUGAAGAAAAUACAGGAGCUGGGCUAGGCUUUAAAGGGCUACAUUAGAUGACAGUAAGUGCUAAAUAAGAUGCAGUAGUUCCAACAGCUGGAACUAUGAAGAAAAUGAAACAUAGCAAUUUGACAGAGAGCAACUUCAGGGAAAAGAGAAGAUCUGCAACAUUAAGGAGGUGGAUCUGGGACAGUCUGGCUAAGGUGACAGUUGAGUCCCAUGUGACAAAUGGGAGGUGCCUGCUGUGGAAGAUCUGGUUUUCUACGUGCAGUAGUGGUUUUCACCCACCUAAAUCUCCCUGCAUAUUUGGCAGUGUCUUGGCAGUUGGGUUGCUACAGCUAGGAGAAAGGGGGUGUUCUGAAGUCUAGUGGGCAGAGGCCAGGAAGUCUAGUGGUCAGAGGCCUGGGUCCUACAAAGCACAGGACAGCCUCCACACUGAGAAAUUAACUGGUCCAAAGUGUCAAUAGUGACAAGGUCGACAAACCCUCGUAUAGAGAAAACGUCAAAGGCAGAAGCCAGCAAGGAGCUUGUCGGGUUUGGGCAGCAAACGCAAACCUGGAGUGACGGUGGAUGAGGAUGAGGUGGAAGAGGUAAGCGAGGCUAGACUAUGCAGUGCUCCUUAGGACACAGUGAGGAAUUUGGAAUUAUCCCCAAAGCAGUGGACAUCC
Molecule: long non-coding RNA, 742 nt
Filed under: Marmota monax (woodchuck)
Lineage: Eukaryota; Metazoa; Chordata; Mammalia; Rodentia; Sciuridae
Source: RNAcentral